UACGAAGGAUCCAAGCGUUAUCCGGAUUUAUUGGGUUUAAAGGGUGCGUAGGUGGACUAUUAAGUCAGUGGUGAAAGCUUCCCGCUUAACGGGAAAAUUGCCAUUGAUACUGAUGGUCUUGAGUGCAUUUGAAGUGGGCGGAAUGUGUCGUGUAGUGGUGAAAUACUUAGAUAUGACACAGAACACCGAUUGCGAAGGCAGCUCACUAAACUGUAACUGACACUGAGGCACGAAAGCGUGGGGAUCAAACAGG
Molecule: ribosomal RNA, 253 nt
Filed under: uncultured bacterium
Lineage: Bacteria
Also listed under: 1 other name
Description: partial 16S ribosomal RNA
Rfam family: Bacterial small subunit ribosomal RNA
Source: RNAcentral